RNAcentral lists this transfer RNA (76 nucleotides) under Oceanobacillus arenosus. RNAcentral describes it as "tRNA-Thr". It matches the Rfam family "tRNA". From Rfam's summary of the family: Transfer RNA (tRNA) molecules are approximately 80 nucleotides in length. Their secondary structure includes four short double-helical elements and three loops (D, anti-codon, and T loops). The record is from RNAcentral. Lineage: Bacteria; Bacillati; Bacillota; Bacilli; Caryophanales; Bacillaceae.
GCUGAUGUAGCACAGUCGGUAGUGCGCUUCACUCGUAAUGAAGAGGUCGGGGGUUCGAUUCCUCUCAUCAGCAUCA